CCCUUAUCGAGCUCGGCCUUGAUCGCCUUCGCUUCUUCUUCGGUCGGGACCAGAAUGUGCCGGGCGCGGACUUCCUUCUCGCCGGACACCUGCUUGGUGGCGUCCUCAUAGACCUUCUUCAUNNNNNNNNNNGCCUUCGGUUGCGAGCAGGCUGUCCAUCAAGAGACGAUCGCGCGCAAAGGCGAUUUUCUGCUUGAACUCUGCCGAGUCGCCGAUCUUCUUGGCUUCGG
RNAcentral lists this unclassified non-coding RNA (230 nucleotides) under Hevea brasiliensis (rubber tree). Lineage: Eukaryota; Viridiplantae; Streptophyta; Magnoliopsida; Malpighiales; Euphorbiaceae. The record is from RNAcentral.